CAGCUCCCCACUCGCUCGUUAAGUGACUAGAAAGAAGCAGUAUUUCCCAGAGAACACGGAAACCAGACAGUGUACCCAGUCUCCAUCAAAUAUACCUCCCCCUCCGGUCUUUUGUUACUUGAUGAAUUUAAUGGAAACCCAACGCUUGGAUCACAUUCAAACCUCCCUCUGUCUCCCGCAAGAGCUUAAAGAUGCUCUGUGAGAAGCGGCUGUGAAGAGGGAAUGUGAUCGGUUAAAUGCGAGCAGAGCUGAGAGCCUGAAAAGAACUCUACAGCCUAAUCAUGGUUUAUUAAAAACCCUGGCAAGGCUGCUCCUGACUGACAGCCUACCUGCACCCCCAGUGAAACAGCUCAGUGAAGACCACUCCGCCUCUGCCCGGAGGCCCACGGUUGCAGCUAGCAGAACUCUGUACCAAGGGGCAGCGUUUGUACUGGAACUCCAUUCAUCAUGUUUACCAAAAGGAUGCUUGUGAGGACAAAGGCAUGGGGGCUCUGUCUACUGGGACUAUUCCUUGAAACAAAUUCUCCCCUUCAAUCCAUUCAGAACAGUAUGUGGAAGACAGAAGAGUGAAUCAGUGGACAGAACCAACUUUACCAUCAGACAAUCCGGAAUUGAAUCUUCCUUCCACUGCUAAGUCGUCAUCUAACUUCUCUGAACCUCAGUUUCCACAAGUCCAGCAGGCACCUCAGGAUAGGCCUUCUUUAUUUGUUUGUGGUAAGAAUUAAGUGAGAUAACCUCUGUAAAGGUCUCUCCAUGGUGCCUGACUUUGACAGACCUUGAAGAAACACAAGGAGAUGGAGGGUAGGUCAAGUUCACUGAGGUACUGUGGAGACCUUCCCUCCGUGGCCCUUAUCUUCUCGGAAUCGUGAAACUGAAGGGGAGCUUAGGGACCACAUGCUUGCUUCUCAAAUGUUAGUGCACGCCUCAAUCACCUAAGGAACUUUCUGUUUUAAAAUCUAGAUUCUUGGGCCCUUCCCCCAUGUCUACUCAUUUAGAACCUCUGGGAUGGAUUUCUGACCUUAGUAUGUUUAGAAAAACAGCUCCCGAGUGAUUCUAGUAAGACACCAGGUGUGAUGCCUUCUGAUUUAACCUGUGCUGUGCUGCUCGCUUAGUCACUCAGUCGUGUCCGACUCUUUCCAACCCUAUACUGUAGCCCACCGGGUUCCUCUGGGAUUCUGCAAGCAAGAAUACUGGAGUGGGUUGCCAUUUCCUUCUCCAGGGUAUCUUCCCAACCCAGGGAUCGAACCCAGGUCUCCUGUAUUACAGGUAGAUUCUUUACUGUCUGAGUCACCAGGGAAGCUGAUGACUUCCUAUCCCUAUCCCUAUGAGUCCAUAGCCUAUCCCUUCUCCAAGGAAUCUUCCCGAUCCAGGAAUCAAACUGGGGUCUCCAGCAUUGCAGGUGGAUUCUUUACCAGCUGAGCUACCAGGGAAGCCUUCUGAUUUAACCUGCUCUCCAUCAAAUGAAAACAAGUCUCUUCAUCACCCUUGCUCCAGCCCCUUCAGGGCACAUCAGUUGCUCUUAAACAUACAGGGUCUUGUGCUGUCUCAGUCCAGUUGUUACACAGUGUUUUCUGAAGGUCAGAAGUCUUAUUUCUAUGCUCCCAAUUUACUUCUUAGUAUGAAAAAACCCUUACAGUGUAAUAACUUUCCUAGAAUAUUAAGCCUGCUGUGUCUAAUUAACCAAGCCUGCUAUAGAUCUUUUUUCUUCUCUAGUUACUUCAAAUAUUUCUCCCAGGACAUAGUUUCUAAUCAACCAUAAUCAAUCAACAAUCAACUAUCUUCCUCCUCAUCCUAACAACUAGAUCAAUUAUAAUAGUCCUCCCUGAAAGAUCACACUGGAACACAACAAAAUUCUCUGUGUGGUCUAAUUAGCACAAGCAAUCAUUUCCAUGAUCUACACAGUCUAAUAUCUUAUUAGAUGUUAAUAAUAUAUUAGAUAAGUAGUGUCUCUCUUUUGAGAGAGACUUUUGACAACUCUUUGAACCUGUGAUGUGACAGGUCCAUCAGAACCACAGAUGUUCUUCAAAAACUGCUAGCAAACCAUGUCUUUGUUAUUUUCACAUGUGUAUUUAACUUACUGAUGCAAAUUAAGGGCGAGUUUACUCUGAAGUUUUGUUUUGGAGGCUUUGGAAUCAUCAUCCCAACUUGUGGAGGUAAUAAAUAGAAUUUUGAUUGUAAUCAAAAUGUGCUUUAUUUGUCUUUGCUUUGUGUCAUCUAAUUCAGUCGCUGACUUAAAAAGAUGCAGUACCAAGGGUUAAAGCCUAUGUAACUCCAUUAGAGGCCUCCACCUGGAUGGAC
Bubalus bubalis (water buffalo) is the source of this 2298-nucleotide long non-coding RNA. RefSeq lists it as uncharacterized. The record is from RefSeq and is a predicted model, not a curated record. Lineage: Eukaryota; Metazoa; Chordata; Mammalia; Artiodactyla; Bovidae. The transcript is spliced from 3 exons.